UGAGGAAUAUUGGUCAAUGGGCGAGAGCCUGAACCAGCCAAGUAGCGUGCAGGAUGACGGCCCUAUGGGUUGUAAACUGCUUUUAUAUGGGAAUAAAGUGAGGGACGUGUCCCUUAUUGCAUGUACCAUACGAAUAAGGACCGGCUAAUUCCGUGCCAGCAGCCGCGGUAAUACGGAAGGUCCAGGCGUUAUCCGGAUUUAUUGGGUUUAAAGGGAGCGUAGGCUGUUUGUUAAGCGUGUUGUGAAAUGUAGGAGCUCAACUUUUAGAUUGCAGCGCGAACGGGCAGACUUGAGUGCGCACAACGUAGGCGGAAUUCAUGGUGUAGCGGUGAAAUGCUUAGAUAUCAUGACGAACUCCGAUUGCGAAGGCAGCUUACGGGAGCGCAACUGACGCUAAAGCUCGAAGGUGCGGGUAUCGAACAGG
Molecule: ribosomal RNA, 424 nt
Filed under: Verrucomicrobiota bacterium
Lineage: Bacteria; Pseudomonadati; Verrucomicrobiota
Description: Verrucomicrobia bacterium partial 16S ribosomal RNA
Rfam family: Bacterial small subunit ribosomal RNA
Source: RNAcentral